RNAcentral lists this long non-coding RNA (222 nucleotides) under Capsicum annuum. Its description in RNAcentral is "long non-coding RNA (CANN_LNC013161)". The record is from RNAcentral. Lineage: Eukaryota; Viridiplantae; Streptophyta; Magnoliopsida; Solanales; Solanaceae.
UAGGCACAACAUAAUCAUUCAUACCAACCAUUAGGCAACAUUCAUCAACAAAAUAUAUAUACAACGCUUUAAUUGUUUUUCAACACCAAAAUAAAAUUGUUUUCAUGUCAACUGAUCUAACUUAAAAUAGUGCUUAAAAUAAUCAACAUCACUACAAUUUUCAGGGCAUCUUGGACUUUGAAGAAGUAUUUUUUUUACUUGGAUUAUUUGAACUGCUUCCCA